Molecule: small nucleolar RNA, 161 nt
Filed under: Drosophila willistoni
Lineage: Eukaryota; Metazoa; Arthropoda; Insecta; Diptera; Drosophilidae
Description: snoRNA:GK26491
Source: RNAcentral
CUUAUGCACUGGCAAGAGUUUUUGGUAAUUUUAAUAAUCAUUAACUCUCUAAUCCGCUGAAGGUAGAUUAAAUCGUUCAUUCUUACAUUCCGUUGACACUGCAUUAUUAGCUUCUAUAUGAUGUGAUCCUUGCAGCUUAGCUGAUUGGAGUGAACACAAUU